CAAUGGCGUAAACAGAGGGGAGCGAACCCGCGAGGGGGAGCGGAUCCCAAAAAUAACGUCCCAGUUCGGAUUGUAGUCUGCAACCCGACUACAUGAAGCCGGAAUCGCUAGUAAUCGCAGAUCAGCAUGCUGCGGUGAAUACGUUCCCGGGUCUUGUACACACCGCCCGUCACACCAUGGGAGCCGGGAAUGCCCGAAGUCGGUGACCCAACCGUAAGGAGGGAGCCGCCGAAGGCAGGCCUGGUAACUGGGGUGAAGUCGUAACAAGGUAUC
This 273-nucleotide ribosomal RNA is filed under the name uncultured bacterium. RNAcentral describes it as "partial 16S ribosomal RNA". It matches the Rfam family "Bacterial small subunit ribosomal RNA", at positions 1228 to 1500 of the family's 1533-position model. The record is from RNAcentral.